AUUGAACGCUGGCGGCAUGCCUUACACAUGCAAGUCGAACGGUAACGGGCCUUCGGGUGCCGACGAGUGGCGAACGGGUGAGUAAUGUAUCGGAACGUACCUUUCAGUGGGGGAUAACGUAGCGAAAGUUACGCUAAUACCGCAUAUUCUGUGAGCAGGAAAGCAGGGGAUCGCAAGACCUUGCGCUGAUUGAGCGGCCGAUAUCAGAUUAGCUAGUUGGUGAGGUAAAGGCUCACCAAGGCGACGAUCUGUAGCGGGUCUGAGAGGAUGAUCCGCCACACUGGAACUGAGACACGGUCCAGACUCCUACGGGGAGGCAGCAGGUGGGGUAAUUUUGGACAAGUGGGGCAACCCUGAUCCAGCCAUGCCGCGUGAGUGAAGAAGGCC
This 387-nucleotide ribosomal RNA is filed under the name uncultured bacterium. RNAcentral describes it as "bacterial SSU rRNA". It matches the Rfam family "Bacterial small subunit ribosomal RNA", at positions 30 to 416 of the family's 1533-position model. The record is from RNAcentral.